AGUGAACGCUGGCGGUAGGCCUAACACAUGCAAGUCGAACGGCAGCACAGUAAGAGCUUGCUCUUACGGGUGGCGAGUGGCGGACGGGUGAGGAAUACAUCGGAAUCUACUUUUUCGUGGGGGAUAACGUAGGGAAACUUACGCUAAUACCGCAUACGACCUACGGGUGAAAGCAGGGGAUCUUCGGACCUUGCGCGAUUGAAUGAGCCGAUGUCGGAUUAGCUAGUUGGCGGGGUAAAGGCCCACCAAGGCGACGAUCCGUAGCUGGUCUGAGAGGAUGAUCAGCCACACUGGAACUGAGACACGGUCCAGACUCCUACGGGAGGCAGCAGUGGGGAAUAUUGGACAAUGGGCGCAAGCCUGAUCCAGCCAUACCGCGUGGGCGAAGAAGGCCUUCGGGUUGUAAAGCCCUUUUGUUGGGAAAGAAAAGCAGCAGGUUAAUACCCUGCUGUUCUGACGGUACCCAAAGAAUAAGCACCGGCUAACUUCGUG
Molecule: ribosomal RNA, 492 nt
Filed under: uncultured bacterium
Lineage: Bacteria
Description: partial 16S ribosomal RNA
Rfam family: Bacterial small subunit ribosomal RNA
Source: RNAcentral